RNAcentral lists this ribosomal RNA (292 nucleotides) under uncultured bacterium. RNAcentral describes it as "partial 16S ribosomal RNA". The record is from RNAcentral.
GGACUACUCGGGUUUCUAAUCCUGUUUGCUCCCCACGCUUUCGUGCAUGAGCGUCAGUACAGGUCCAGGGGAUUGCCUUCGCCAUCGGUGUUCCUCCGCAUAUCUACGCAUUUCACUGCUACACGCGGAAUUCCAUCCCCCUCUACCGUACUCUAGCUAUGCAGUCACAAAUGCAGUUCCCAGGUUAAGCCCGGGGAUUUCACACCUGUCUUACAUAACCGCCUGCGCACGCUUUACGCCCAGUAAUUCCGAUUAACGCUCGCACCCUACGUAUUACCGCGGCGGCUGGCAC